UUUUUACAGCUUUAUUUUAUAGUUGGGCAAAGCUUGAAAGUUGCAGAGGAAUAAGCAAUUUUCUUAAGAAAGAUGAGUUUUAAUUGAAAAAGACAACAGGACAUGGUGGAAAUGGAAUAUGCAUGUCUGAUGGACAAUCAAUCUCCAAGAUGUGGAAACAGCAGCUGCACUCAACAGAACUUGGUGAAAACAACUGGAGAAGCAGGGUUGAUGGACAUUGAUUUUCCAAGAUUUGGAAACAGCAGCUGCCCUCAACCGGACAUUGUGGAAAUAACUGCAGGAGGCAUGGCUGAUAGAUGUUGAUCUUCCAAGAUGUGGAAACAGCAGCUGCAGCCAACAGGACUUGGUGGAAACAAUUGGAGGAGACAUGCCUGAUGGAUGUUAACCUCCCCCCCCCCCCCCCCCCCACAAGACAUUUAACAGUAGAUAACUGACACUGAUCAGUUAUUAAAGAGAUUGAAAAAGGCACUUAAAGAAUUAUCUGGCAGCUUGAAAGGAGCCCUGGAAGCAUGGAUGAUAUUUUCUACAGGAUAAUGGAUAUUGACUCUGAAAGCGUGCAGAUGAAGACAACAAGACAUGGUGGAAACAACUGUAGGAGGCAAA
This is a long non-coding RNA of Saccostrea echinata, 603 nucleotides long. RefSeq lists it as uncharacterized. The record is from RefSeq and is a predicted model, not a curated record. The transcript is spliced from 3 exons. NCBI's taxonomy places the organism in Eukaryota, Metazoa, Mollusca, Bivalvia, Ostreida, Ostreidae.